RNAcentral lists this long non-coding RNA (528 nucleotides) under Amborella trichopoda. RNAcentral's name for it is "long non-coding RNA (ATRI_LNC005077)". The record is from RNAcentral. Lineage: Eukaryota; Viridiplantae; Streptophyta; Magnoliopsida; Amborellales; Amborellaceae.
UAUUUUUUUGUAGCAUGCUGUUCCCAGUUUUUCGAAGGGUUGUGAGUCAAGGUAGGAAGAGAGAGCACAUCAUUUACUCGGUAACUUGGUUAUCAAAUGAAGGGUGUGGGUUAAUGUGUUAAGUGCUGCUUCAAAUGACCAAAUCGCAUAUUUUUAAAAAAUAUGGCUUGGUUGAUUGUCAAAUGGCCAAAUCGAUUUUGAAAUGGCCAAACCUCAUUUACUAAGCAACAUUUUGAGUUCGGUUUUAACAUAAAAAAAAAAAAAAAUUAUAUAAGAUGGCAACUUUAAAAUGUAGAAUCAAGACGCAUAUUUUUUUUUUAAAAAAACAGGUUAAUUAUUUAUCCAUUUCAGCAUGUGAAAACAUGAGAGAUGAGUAAAACCCUUUUUAGUUUCUACCUCUAUUUUUCAUGGAGGCUAAUAAAUAGAUUUAAGGAGUAUAAAGUUGCAACAAAUGAUAGAUAGCUUGUAACAAAUAAAAAAUAAAAUUAGAAGAAAAUAUCAACACUAAACAAGAAGUUGAGAACACUG